GCCGCGAUAGCUCAGUCGGUAGAGCGCCGGAUUGAAGAUCCGGGCGUCGAAGGUUCGAUCCCUUCUUGCGGCA
Molecule: transfer RNA, 73 nt
Filed under: Variovorax sp. CF079
Lineage: Bacteria; Pseudomonadati; Pseudomonadota; Betaproteobacteria; Burkholderiales; Comamonadaceae
Rfam family: tRNA
About the family: Transfer RNA (tRNA) molecules are approximately 80 nucleotides in length. Their secondary structure includes four short double-helical elements and three loops (D, anti-codon, and T loops).
Source: Rfam by way of RNAcentral